This 75-nucleotide transfer RNA is filed under the name Podarcis lilfordi (Lilford's wall lizard). Its description in RNAcentral is "tRNA.Lys". Lineage: Eukaryota; Metazoa; Chordata; Lepidosauria; Squamata; Lacertidae. The record is from RNAcentral.
GUCCUGGGAUAGCUCAGUCAGUAGAGCACGAGACUCUUAAUCUCAGGGUCAUGAGUUCGAGUUCCACAUUGGGCA